This 1156-nucleotide long non-coding RNA is filed under the name Nicotiana benthamiana. Its description in RNAcentral is "long non-coding RNA (NBEN_LNC011680)". Lineage: Eukaryota; Viridiplantae; Streptophyta; Magnoliopsida; Solanales; Solanaceae. The record is from RNAcentral.
GAAAUCCAAACGCGCAAACGCCAAAAAAAAAUGGGCUCAAAUCUCAAUGAUUUGUACUUAUUAAAUUGCAUUGAAUCCUCCAAUAUCAGGUUAAUAAGGCAAACUGGGACUUACAAAUUCAAACGGACCAACUGAAGCUUUUAACAAAGUAAACCAGACAUCUUUAGAUUUAAGAGUGAGAGCUUGAAUUUUAUGUUUGCAAAGGUCCUCAUUAACUACCCCAUUUUAGCAUUACUCAAUGAAUAAAUGGAAUACUAGGCAUAUGAACCUAACCUGCAUCCUUAUCUUACAUUAAUUCAGCUAAAGAUUUUAACCAGACACUUAAACAAGCUGAGAACAAAACUACGACCCAUUUCUGUUCAUGACUCUUGCUUAAUAAUUUAAGCAACUCGAUUUUAAUUAUAUUUUAUAUGGCAACUUAACUUUAACUACCACAGUGCAUAAUAACGAAGCUGCGCUGGAUAUAAUACAUGAAUGAACAUCCAUCAAACUGUCCAGGUUUAAUUACAAAUACUAGUUAGCAAAUAUACACCUUAAUGCAAUUUAAAGUAUAACUAAACAACAUCUCAAACUGGACCCUCAAAUGAACAUUUAUUCCAUAUUUUGAGCUCAAAUUCACAUCAGAUGUACGAAUGUAUACCUGAAGACACAAAUGAAUAAGGAAUAUGAGUGAUCGGCAAGUAAUGUUUGAUGUCCAGCAAUGAAAUAGCAGCAACGAUCAAAAGAAAGCAACAGCAGCCCAAAUGCAGAGUAAAUGAUUUAAAAUGUUCAACCAAGUUGAAAAACCCAACAGAUCAACCCAGAAAACCAACGUUAACAACCAGAACCCAGCAAAACUACCAAACUCUCGAAAUAUAAUAGACCAUCUUGAAAUUAAAACCCAAACAAUGAAGAUCAACAAAUCCCAGUUGAAAUCAUCUUCCAUGGCAAUGAAACAGUGAUUUUUGUUUUGUUUUUGAAUGUUUUUGUAAUUUUUUUUUAGUUUUUGAAAUCAAUUGCUAAUUGAAAACUUUAGGGAAAAAGGAAAAGAGCUUUUUGGUUGAAUUUUUGAGCUGAAAACUUUAAGCCCCCUUUACAAGGCAAAUGAAAUCCUUUUAUAGACCAACAAGAGUGAAAAAAUCAGCAUUUUUGCUUCUUUUUUAGUCCCUCUUUUUUU